AGGUUUAUAUAGUUUAUAUAAAAUAUUGAAUUGCAAAUUCAAAGAAGCAUAAGUAUGUUUAAACUUA
RNAcentral lists this transfer RNA (67 nucleotides) under Semirossia patagonica (Patagonian bobtail squid). RNAcentral's name for it is "tRNA-Cys". Lineage: Eukaryota; Metazoa; Mollusca; Cephalopoda; Sepiida; Sepiolidae. The record is from RNAcentral.